ACUGUGAAGGAAAGAUGAAAAGCACUUUGAAAAGAGAGUGAAACAGCACGUGAAAUUGUUGAAAGGGAAGGGUAUUGCGCCCGACAUGGGGAUUGCGCACCGCUGCCUCUCGUGGGCGGCGCUCUGGGCUUUCCCUGGGCCAGCAUCGGUUCUUGCUGCAGGAGAAGGGGUUCUGGAACGUGGCUCUUCGGAGUGUUAUAGCCAGGGCCAGAUGCUGCGUGCGGGGACCGAGGACUGCGGCCGUGUAGGUCACGGAUGCUGGCAGAACGGCGCAACACCG
RNAcentral lists this ribosomal RNA (280 nucleotides) under Pichia kudriavzevii. RNAcentral's name for it is "partial 26S ribosomal RNA". It matches the Rfam family "Eukaryotic large subunit ribosomal RNA", at positions 350 to 647 of the family's 3401-position model. The record is from RNAcentral. Lineage: Eukaryota; Fungi; Ascomycota; Pichiomycetes; Pichiales; Pichiaceae.